Long non-coding RNA from Papaver somniferum (opium poppy), 1244 nucleotides. RefSeq lists it as uncharacterized. The record is from RefSeq and is a predicted model, not a curated record. Lineage: Eukaryota; Viridiplantae; Streptophyta; Magnoliopsida; Ranunculales; Papaveraceae. The transcript has 8 exons.
UCUAUUGCUCCAAAAAUUCCAGAGUGGUAGCAUUCAUCACGGAGAUUUGUGAUGUCUAAUGUCACAAUUCAAGGAAGAGCUGAAAUCAGCAAUGAAUCAACACAUGGAUUUAAUGUCGGAUCUCGUUGAGAAAUUCAGUGGUGAACUUCGCGCUGGAUUGCAACCUGCUGUUGAUAAUUUCCGUAGCUUGUUCCAUGCAAUCGAUUGGAAGGGCAUUUAUCAAAUUCCAACUUGUAGAGAGAAUUGUUGCUGCUGUUGUUUAGAUCACCAUCGUCACGAAAACCUUGAAACUCAGUAGAGUCCUGUGCCGGUGCUUGCUAACAGCUCCCAACUACACAAGUGGAGCUUCAUUUGAGAGACAAAGAUAUCUGAUCACGAGGAACCAGGUAGCAAGAAGGCACAGCAAUUGACAUUUCUUAAAGCAGUCAGAUGUUGUUGCAGCUAGAGUCCGACCGAGACAUAAUUCCGAGGCAUUUGAAUCACACUGACAAGUUCUUCUCUGUUCAACUUGUCAUUCAGGCACAACAACCGAAUAGCACAACAAGUUUCAAUCGGCGAGCAGUGGUGAUUGAAACCUUGCAUGCUUCUGGUGAUCAAACCACUGAUUUUGACUGGUAUGUGAAGUGUCCAGUUCUUGGAGGAAUCUAUUCUGCGGCUGUGGUUUAAAACAUGCUGACUGAUAAUUCACCAGCUUCAUUUGAGAGGAUACGAAGAUGUCUGAUCACGAGGUACCAGUUAGCAAGAAGGCACACCAAUUGACAUUUCCUAAAGCAGUCAGAUGUUGUUGCAGCUAGAGUCCGACCAUGACAUCAUUCCGAGGCAUUUGAAUCACACUGACGAGUUCUUCUCUGUUCAACUUAUCAUUCAGGCAUAACAACCGAAUAUCACAACAACUUCCAAUCGGCGAGCAGUGGUGAUUGAAAUCUUGCAUGCUUCUAGUGACCAGACAACUGAUAUUGGCUGGUAUGUGAAGUGUACAGUUCUUGGAGGAAUCUACUCUGCGGCUGUGGUUUAAAACAUGCUGACUGAUAAUUCACCAGACUUCCGUGACACACAGGCAUUUUGUAAGGCGCCGAGUGAAAGAUACAUGUUACAUUUGAUCUAAAGAAGACUGUUUCAAGAGCAUUAGUAUUUGGCGGAAGACGUUGGCGCUAGAAUAGGAAGCACAAUCCAUGGUCUAGAUGGAGUUUCGUACAUAUUUCUGUGCAGAAUUGAGCACCUGAGAAGACUAUAUCAUUCUCGAG